This 481-nucleotide ribosomal RNA is filed under the name uncultured bacterium. Its description in RNAcentral is "partial 16S ribosomal RNA". It matches the Rfam family "Bacterial small subunit ribosomal RNA", at positions 28 to 507 of the family's 1533-position model. The record is from RNAcentral.
GAUGAACGCUGGCGGCGUGCUUAACACAUGCAAGUCGAACGAAGCAUUUGCGACAGAUUUUUUCGGAAUGAAGUUGCUUAUGACUGAGUGGCGGACGGGUGAGUAGCGCGUGGGUAACCUGCCUUGUACUGGGGGAUAGCAGCUGGAAACGGCUGGUAAUACCGCAUAAGCGCACAAUGUUGCAUGACAUGGUGUGAAAAACUCCGGUGGUAUAAGAUGGACCCGCGUCUGAUUAGCUAGUUGGUGAGAUAACAGCCCACCAAGGCGACGAUCAGUAGCCGACCUGAGAGGGUGACCGGCCACAUUGGGACUGAGACACGGCCCAGACUCCUACGGGAGGCAGCAGUGGGGAAUAUUGCACAAUGGAGGAAACUCUGAUGCAGCGACGCCGCGUGAGUGAAGAAGUAAUUCGUUAUGUAAAGCUCUAUCAGCAGGGAAGAUAGUGACGGUACCUGACUAAGAAGCUCCGGCUAAAUACGUG